AUACUUAUCUGGCAGGGGAUAUACCAUGACCAUGAAGGUGGUUCCCAGGGUGUGAGGCUCAUCCAUUGCACUCUGGUUGUGUUGACCCUUGUGAUUUCCCCAAAUGCAGAAUUUGUAGUAGUGAGGGACUAUGUUUGUGGUUUCCCCUGU
This 150-nucleotide small nuclear RNA is filed under the name Aotus nancymaae (Ma's night monkey). Its description in RNAcentral is "U1 spliceosomal RNA (ENSANAG00000037723.1)". It matches the Rfam family "U1 spliceosomal RNA". From Rfam's summary of the family: U1 is a small nuclear RNA (snRNA) component of the spliceosome (involved in pre-mRNA splicing). Lineage: Eukaryota; Metazoa; Chordata; Mammalia; Primates; Aotidae. The record is from RNAcentral.